RNAcentral lists this long non-coding RNA (2769 nucleotides) under Olea europaea subsp. europaea. Lineage: Eukaryota; Viridiplantae; Streptophyta; Magnoliopsida; Lamiales; Oleaceae. The record is from RNAcentral.
GAGCACUGGACUACGGGACUAGGGAUAGGGUUUUGUGGAGGUUGAAGACUUCGGUUCUAUUUUACUCUCAGUUGAAUUGACAGUCAACAGAAUCACUUGAUAUUUUUCCACAAUUGGUGAGUUCAUUUUCCAAUUUCUCCCCUAUAUUGUCAAUUUUGUGAACCAUGUUCAUUUCUAAUUCUUUUAUAAGAAACAUGUUUCGGAUAAUAUAUAGGCAUCAGGAUGAUUCAAAUUCAUUCAAUUCACUGUUUAAAUCUAGAUGCAGACUUUUUUCAUCUGUUAGUUCCAAAGAUUUUCCUAUUGGGUUGUCUCGGGAAACUAGUGUUGGGAAAUAUUCUGAGAAAAAAGUGGAAAAAGUAAAGACCUUAUUCAGGAAUCAUGGAUUUGACGAAUCCCAUAUUUCGCAUAUUGCUCGAAUACAACCUAAGGUGUUUUUGUACGAUCCCCAGAAUACCCUUUUGCCCAAACUCAAUUUCCUGCGCUCUAUAGGUGUUUCGAAUACUGAUAUUCCGAAAGUCAUUAUGCGGAACCCGGCCCUUAUGGGGAGAAGUCUAGAAAAGCAGAUUUGGCCUUGUUAUAAUUUUCUGAAAAGUUUGCCCCUUUCAGGGAAAGAGGUUGUUAUGAUGGUGAAUAGAAAUUCUAGAAUCCUUGCAACUAAUGUAGAGAAAAUUUCUGGUAAUGUGGAGGCAAUGCAGCAAGCAGGGAUUCCCCCACACUCUAUCUCGUAUUUUGUAAGCCGGUUUCCUGCUUCAGUGCAGCGGGAUAACGAGAAAUUUAGGAAGUGUUUGGAUGAUGUGAUAGGUAUGGGGUUUAACCCUUUGAGGUUGAUGUUUAUUCUAGCAGUUCGAGUGCUGUGCGAGACCCCUAAACCAACAUGGGAUUACAAAGUCAAGGUGUUUAAGAGGUUCGGCUUGUCAGAUGAAGAGGUUAUGUCAGCAUUUAGAUUGCAUCCCUGUUGUAUGAACGUAUCCGAGGAGAAAGUGUUAAAGGUGAUGGAUUUCUUUAUAAAUAAGAUGAAAUGGGAACCUGCAGUUGUUAUUCGAACUCCAGCGGUUCUUCUUUAUAAUCUGGAGAAGAGGAUCAUCCCCAGGUGUAAUGUGAUUACUCUUUUGAUGCAAAAGGGCCUCCUGAAGGCAAAUUUUCCUUUAAUGUCUUUCUUGAAGAAUAGUGAAAUUGAUUUCUUGGAUAAAUUUGUUUACAAAUAUAAGGACAAUUUGACUCAAUUGAUGGAUGUUUAUCGUCAAGGGAUGGCUUUGUAGCAAUGGAAUUGUCCUGAUUCUAGAGAUGCCUGAUUUUCAAGUUUUUUUUUCCGUGUCCAUCAUUUAUCCGUUCACAAGUAAUUUGUUGCACUUCUCUUCACAUUGAAAACAUGGGAUGUCCAACGACCUUUUUGUUCAUGAGUGGGAUUUCAGCAGCCUAAUAUCGACAGAAUUACAUCCUUUUUUUCUUAUAGUUUGGAGAAGAUGGUCAUAACAAUGUGCUCGAGUUAUCUAACUUUCAACUAAAAGUUUGGGAAAAAAGCUACCUUCUUAACCGCAUUGAUUUUCGCUAAGCAUGACUUAGCUUUUCUUACACCAACUUCAAGCACAUGUAGAGGAUCUAUUAAGGAAAAAGUUCAUUCAGUGGGAAGUUGGCUCGUACUCUACUAGGGUUCAUACAUUGAUCAUCAUAUGAUAAAAUGGGUUCUAUGAAUCUGUGAUUCAUAUUAGAUGACUGAUUUUUAUCUCCUUAGCUAAUUGUUUCGCAGAGGACAAUGUUUUGCUGCUUUGGUAUUGGAAGGAAGAGAAGCGCUGAUCCUCCCUAGAGAAAUGUACUUGAAAUUUUAAGUUUAUUUAGUUAUUUCUGUCCAGUAUCAAAUAAAUUGGUUUUUCUUCGUAGUGAUCGCAUCAGUCCCAAAUAUGAUCAUGUUUGUUCAUGAAAAACAAGGAUUGUAUUUUUGGUUAAUCCUCAUCUUUCAUAUAUUUGCAACUAAAAUUUUCUCUUUUAAGUGAUGAUACGUUUUUAACAGAAUUCCUGUUAUAUAGACGUCUUAUUAAGACAGCCUAGUGUGCAUGGAAUAUCCGACAAUUACUAGUGGUCGAGAAGAUGACUGUACAUUGUUUUCAGGCUCUACACUGUUCUUCUGGCAUGGUAAUAUGGUACUCACCGUCACUGUAAGUUAUUGCUGCUGCAAAUUUUUUAGGUUUAUUUCUUGUUGCUGCAGCGUUAAUUUGUCAAUGUAGGACUGUAGUUUAUUUACGCAAGUGGUUACGUUAGCAUGAUUCGUACCAGGAUUGUUUCAGGGUUCAACUGUGUUGCAAUAAUGUUGUUAUUAUUGGUAUAUAAGUGAAUGUUUGGUACGACCCGAUGGACACGACCAGCGCGAGUUUGGUAGGUACUGAUGGUCAAAUGUGUUGGAUAAUAAACCGUAUUUUAGUUUCUUUUUCUGCCUUAAUAGUGUUCGAUACUAUAUAAUCCUUCUUAACAGCAUUGAAUCAAUUCUGAUUCCGCAGAGUAUUUUACGAGAUUGAGAAGUGUUGUACGCACUACCAAAACUCGCUAUUCAUAUUGGAGGAAAACUUGGUUCACGCAAACACGAUGACAUUUUUCUGUGUUGCAAAUUUACAAUGUUAUAUAAACUUGUAGGUAACAAUUGGGACUCGAGGCCCGAGGGUGAAGUUAUUUUACUUAUGACUUUGAAAUUUUACAUUUAAGAAUGCGUUUAUUAAAAUAGUACUUUGUUAAUAUAAUCGUAUGACUUGAGUACUUCUGUACCUGGACAAUUCAAAC